Molecule: ribosomal RNA, 468 nt
Filed under: uncultured bacterium
Lineage: Bacteria
Description: partial 16S ribosomal RNA
Rfam family: Bacterial small subunit ribosomal RNA
Source: RNAcentral
GACGAACGCUGGCGGCGUGCUUAACACAUGCAAGUCGAACGGAAAGGCCCUGCUUUUGUGGGGUGCUCGAGUGGCGAACGGGUGAGUAACACGUGAGUAACCUGCCCUUGACUUUGGGAUAACUUCAGGGAACUGGGGCUAAUACCGGAUAGGAGCUCCUGCUGCAUGGUGGGGGUUGGAAAGUUUCGGCGGUUGGGGAUGGACUCGCGGCUUAUCAGCUUGUUGGUGGGGUAGUGGCUUACCAAGGCUUUGACGGGUAGCCGGCCUGUGAGGGUGACCGGCCACAUUGGGACUGAGAUACGGCCCAGACUCCUACGGGAGGCAGCAGUGGGGAAUAUUGCACAAUGGGCGGAAGCCUGAUGCAGCAACGCCGCGUGCGGGAUGACGGCCUUCGGGUUGUAAACCGCUUUCGCCUGUGACGAAGCGUGAGUGACGGUAAUGGGUAAAGAAGCACCGGCUAACUACGUG